GGGAUAGCCCAGGGAAACCUGGAUUAAUACCGGAUGAGACGGGACCCGCGAAGGCGGGACCCGGGAAAGGCGCUGCGGCGCCGGCCGGGGGAUGAGUCUGCGUCCCAUUAGCUAGACGCGGGGUAACGGCCCACCGUGGCGACGAUGGGUAGCCGGCCUGAGAGGGUGGACGGCCACAUUGGAACUGAGACACGGUCCAGACUCCUACGGGAGGCAGCAGCUAAGAAUCUUCCGCAAUGGGCGAAAGCCUGACGGGAAGCGACGCCGCGUGAACGGAGAAGGCCGUGAGGUUGUAAAGUUCUUUUCGGGAGGGGAACAACCGUGGCAGGGAAUGGCCGCGGGAUGACGUAGAAUCCCGGAAUAACGCCCCGGCUAACUACGUGCCAGCCGCCGC
Molecule: ribosomal RNA, 394 nt
Filed under: uncultured bacterium
Lineage: Bacteria
Description: bacterial SSU rRNA
Rfam family: Bacterial small subunit ribosomal RNA
Source: RNAcentral